This is a long non-coding RNA of Sebastes umbrosus (honeycomb rockfish), 192 nucleotides long. RefSeq lists it as uncharacterized. The record is from RefSeq and is a predicted model, not a curated record. The transcript has 3 exons. Lineage: Eukaryota; Metazoa; Chordata; Actinopteri; Perciformes; Sebastidae.
UUUGUCCAUUUGUGAUGUCACAAAUCUACAAUAUUUAGACCCUUUACACAGAUUUAAACGUAAACAUUCUAAAUGUGUCCCAGUUUAUUCCUGGUUGCAUCGUAUGUGAAUGACAUCAGCUGAACAGGAAGUAAGCAUGGACCCAACCUGUUGUCUAGCAACGCAAUUACGUUGUUAUUCCAUUUAAAUGCA